RNAcentral lists this ribosomal RNA (988 nucleotides) under gut metagenome. RNAcentral describes it as "bacterial SSU rRNA". It matches the Rfam family "Bacterial small subunit ribosomal RNA", at positions 8 to 986 of the family's 1533-position model. The record is from RNAcentral.
AGAGUUUGAUCCUGGCUCAGGAUGAACGCUAGCGACAGGCCUAACACAUGCAAGUCGAGGGGCAGCGGAGAGGUAGCAAUACCUUUGCCGGCGACCGGCGCACGGGUGAGUAACACGUAUGCAAUCCACCUGUAACAGGGGGAUAACCCGGAGAAAUCCGGACUAAUACCCCAUAAUAUGGGCGCUCCGCAUGGAGAGUCCAUUAAAGAGAGCAAUUUUGGUUACAGACGAGCAUGCGCUCCAUUAGCCAGUUGGCGGGGUAACGGCCCACCAAAGCGACGAUGGAUAGGGGUUCUGAGAGGAAGGUCCCCCACAUUGGAACUGAGACACGGUCCAAACUCCUACGGGAGGCAGCAGUGAGGAAUAUUGGUCAAUGGUCGGCAGACUGAACCAGCCAAGUCGCGUGAGGGAAGACGGCCCUACGGGUUGUAAACCUCUUUUGUCGGAGAGUAAAGUACGCUACGUGUAGCGUAUUGCAAGUAUCCGAAGAAAAAGCAUCGGCUAACUCCGUGCCAGCAGCCGCGGUAAUACGGAGGAUGCGAGCGUUAUCCGGAUUUAUUGGGUUUAAAGGGUGCGUAGGCGGCACGCCAAGUCAGCGGUGAAAUUUUCGGGCUCAACCCGGACUGUGCCGUUGAAACUGGCGAGCUAGAGUGCACAAGAGGCAGGCGGAAUGCGUGGUGUAGCGGUGAAAUGCAUAGAUAUCACGCAGAACCCCGAUUGCGAAGGCAGCCUGCUAGGGUGCGACAGACGCUGAGGCACGAAAGCGUGGGUAUCGAACAGGAUUAGAUACCCUGGUAGUCCACGCAGUAAACGAUGAAUACUAACUGUUUGCGAUACAAUGUAAGCGGUACAGCGAAAGCGUUAAGUAUUCCACCUGGGGAGUACGCCGGCAACGGUGAAACUCAAAGGAAUUGACGGGGGCCCGCACAAGCGGAGGAACAUGUGGUUUAAUUCGAUGAUACGCGAGGAACCUUACCCGGGCUCAAAC